GUUUUCCUCCGUUUAUUCCUGCGCCAUAAAGGAUCCACAGGUUAUGAUUUUCACGGUAUGUUUGGACCUACUGAGUUAAACUACAAUGAAUCUGUUCACAUCAGCGUGUCUCUGCGUGUCUCUGCUGUUUGGCUGUUUCGUGGAUUUGGCAUCUUCAGACCAGACAACCAUCACAGCUGAGUCUGGACAGAACGUCACUCUGACAUGUCGAGCUCCAUCAGGCAAAACCAUCAGAGCUGUGAAGUGGAGCAGAAAUGACCUGGGAGAUAAAUAUGUGCUUUUGUACAGAGAUGAGCAGCUGGAUCCAACCAACCAGCAUCCAUCUUUUAAGAACCGGGUGGAUCUGCAGGACAGACAGAUGAAGGAUGGAGACGUGUCUUUGAUUCUGAAGAAUGUGAUGAUUAAUGAUGGUGGAUCAUACAAGUGUGGUGUCCUUGUGGGAGAAUCAGCAUCAUGGGAGAUCAUGGGGACUGUCAACAUGAGUGUGGCUCCUCCAGGUCACACAGAGGAUGGAUCUAAAGGACAGAUGAAUUAUCUGUCGGGUUCUGGUGUGUUUCUUCUUCUUUUCCUUUUUCUUGUUGUCACUGCUGCUCCUGUUUGUCGUUGGAUUUUCAUCUCCAGAAAAUUAAAAAAGAAAAUAUUUCAGGGGUCAUACUAGUCUCCUGAUGGUUUAAAAACACUAUUUAAAAAUGAUGUUGGUUCAAAAAGAUAAAGAAACAGAUACGACAUAAAAUUCUGAUGAUGGAUCAACCAGAAGGAAGGUCGGCAUAAAAAACAGGAAUGUUUCAAAAACAAUGAAGGUUUAAACAACUCUUAGGACCUCUAACCCUCGAAAUAUGAAAGGACUUAUUAAAUAUAUUGAAGGUAUUAAUAAAACCAUGACCUCAUGCUUAUGAGUAAACUUUAACUAAACUCCUGUCUUUUUGUGUUUGUUUAUUUUAUUUGACAAUGCUAAGAUCAAUAUAACACGUGCUGCACACGGUAGAUGAUUUGUUGCUUUGGGCACUUCUUAAGCUUCUUAAAAUCUUAAAAUGUCAGACUGUAACUUCACUGCUGAGCCUCGAGUUAAACUCUCUGUGGAGGAAACUUCACAGUGAAACUCUGAGCUGAGGAACAAACUCUCCAUCAUCCUCAUCCUCAGCAAACAGCAGAGUCUCAUGGUGUUGAAAACAGACAUCACCAGAUGAUGAUAAAAAAUAAAUAAAUAAUUUUUUCA
Oreochromis aureus is the source of this 1216-nucleotide long non-coding RNA. Lineage: Eukaryota; Metazoa; Chordata; Actinopteri; Cichliformes; Cichlidae. The record is from Ensembl.